CGCCUCUUGCAAAAACAAUGAAUAAGAGGUCCCGCCUGCCCUGUGACUAUGAGUUUAACGGCCGCGGUAUUUUGACCGUGCAAAGGUAGCGCAAUCACUUGUCCUUUAAAUGAGGACCUGUAUGAAUGGCACAACGAGGGCCAAACUGUCUCCUUUUUCAAGUCAAUGAAAUUGAUCUCCCCGUGCAGAAGCGGGGAUAAAAACAUAAGACGAGAAGACCCUAUGGAGCUUUAGAUAUAAAACAGCCCAUGUCAAGCCACAAUAUAAAAGAAAUAAACUAAAUGGCCUCUGUUUGAAUAUCUUUGGUUGGGGCGACCGCGGGGAAACAAAAAACCCCCAUGUGGAAUAAAAAUACCCUUUUUAGAACCAAGAGCCACCGCUCAAAUAAACAGAAUGUCUGACCAACCCGAUCCGGACCCUCCGAUCAACGAACCGAGUUACCCUAGGGAUAACAGCGCAAUCUUCUUUUAGAGUCCAUAUCGACAAGAAGGUUUACGACCUCGAUGUUGGAUCAGGACAUCCUAAUGGUGCAGCCGCUAUUAAGGGUUCGUUUGUUCAACGAUUAAAGUCCU
RNAcentral lists this ribosomal RNA (572 nucleotides) under Carinotetraodon lorteti (redeye puffer). Its description in RNAcentral is "partial 16S rRNA". It matches the Rfam family "Bacterial large subunit ribosomal RNA", at positions 1817 to 2597 of the family's 2925-position model. RNAcentral also lists the same sequence under 1 other name. Lineage: Eukaryota; Metazoa; Chordata; Actinopteri; Tetraodontiformes; Tetraodontidae. The record is from RNAcentral.